Hydra vulgaris (swiftwater hydra) is the source of this 207-nucleotide non-coding RNA. Lineage: Eukaryota; Metazoa; Cnidaria; Hydrozoa; Anthoathecata; Hydridae. The record is from RefSeq and is a predicted model, not a curated record.
UUAAUAGAUUUAAAAAUCAUCUGAUUUUUGCAUUAUGAUAUGUGCGCCAACUGUACUCUAAAACCACUAAAACUUGGCCAUGCUUUCUCUCCUUAUUCAAAUCGAUUAUACAACAAGGAACUGCAAACUACAAUACAGCAAAGAACUACAAAAAUGAGCAGCCAAAAUACAGAAGGCGACGAAGAAGUUUCAGAAUUUUUUAGAAGU